Molecule: ribosomal RNA, 403 nt
Filed under: Salmonella enterica subsp. enterica serovar Typhimurium
Lineage: Bacteria; Pseudomonadati; Pseudomonadota; Gammaproteobacteria; Enterobacterales; Enterobacteriaceae
Description: bacterial SSU rRNA
Rfam family: Bacterial small subunit ribosomal RNA
Source: RNAcentral
AAAGGAGACUGCCAGUGAUAAACUGGAGGAAGGUGGGGAUGACGUCAAGUCAUCAUGGCCCUUACGACCAGGGCUACACACGUGCUACAAUGGCGCAUACAAAGAGAAGCGACCUCGCGAGAGCAAGCGGACCUCAUAAAGUGCGUCGUAGUCCGGAUUGGAGUCUGCAACUCGACUCCAUGAAGUCGGAAUCGCUAGUAAUCGUGGAUCAGAAUGCCACGGUGAAUACGUUCCCGGGCCUUGUACACACCGCCCGUCACACCAUGGGAGUGGGUUGCAAAAGAAGUAGGUAGCUUAACCUUCGGGAGGGCGCUUACCACUUUGUGAUUCAUGACUGGGGUGAAGUCGUAACAAGGUAACCGUAGGGGAACCUGCGGUUGGAUCACCUCCUUACCUUAAAGAA